RNAcentral lists this ribosomal RNA (2079 nucleotides) under Mesorhizobium sp. Its description in RNAcentral is "23S ribosomal RNA". It matches the Rfam family "Bacterial large subunit ribosomal RNA". The record is from RNAcentral. Lineage: Bacteria; Pseudomonadati; Pseudomonadota; Alphaproteobacteria; Hyphomicrobiales; Phyllobacteriaceae.
GAUCAAGUGUCUUAAGGGCAAUUGGUGGAUGCCUUGGCAUGCACAGGCGAUGAAGGACGUGAUACGCUGCGAUAAGCUACGGGGAGGUGCGAAUACCCUUUGAUCCGUAGAUUUCCGAAUGGGGAAACCCACCUAAGGUGCUUGGAAAAUCAGAGCAGCAGGGCAACUUGCUGCUGUGGUUUCCAAGUAUCGAUAAUAGGUAACUUAUCCUGAAUACAUAGGGAUAAAGUGGCGAACGCGGGGAACUGAAACAUCUAAGUACCCGUAGGAAAGGACAUCAACCGAGACUCCGGCAGUAGUGGCGAGCGAACCCGGACCAGGCCAGUGGCGAUGAUGAGACAAGCGGAACCUUCUGGAAAGUAGGGCCAUAGUGGGUGACAGCCCCGUACGCGUAAUGCAAAUCAUCGUCCUCGAGUAAGGCGGGACACGUGAAAUCCUGUCUGAAAUUGGGGGGACCACCCUCCAAGCCUAAGUACUCGUGCAUGACCGAUAGCGAACUAGUACCGUGAGGGAAAGGUGAAAAGCACCCCGACAAGGGGAGUGAAAGAGUACCUGAAACCGAUUGCCUACAAACAGUGGGAGCCCGCAAGGGUGACCACGUACCUUUUGUAUAAUGGGUCAGCGACUUAGUGUGACGAGCAAGCUUAAACCGCUAGGUGUAGGCGCAGCGAAAGCGAGUCUGAACAGGGCGUUCAGUUCGUCGCAUUAGACCCGAAACCGAGUGAUCUAGCCAUGAGCAGGUUGAAGGUAAGGUAACACUUACUGGAGGACCGAACCCAUAACUGUUGCAAUAGUUCGGGAUGACUUGUGGCUAGGGGUGAAAGGCCAAUCAAACUCGGAAAUAGCUGGUUCUCCGCGAAAUCUAUUUAGGUAGAGCGUCGACCGAAUACCCCAGGGGGUAGAGCACUGGAUGGGCUAGGGGUCCUCACCGGAUUACCAAACCUAACCAAACUCCGAAUACCUGGGAGUACUAGUCGGCAGACACACGGCGGGUGCUAACGUCCGUCGUGAAAAGGGAAACAACCCUGACCUACAGCUAAGGUCCCCAAGUUAUGGCUAAGUGGGAAAGGAUGUGAGGAUCCCAAAACAACCAGGAUGUUGGCUUAGAAGCAGCCAUCAUUUAAAGAAAGCGUAACAGCUCACUGGUCUAAAUAAGGGUCUUUGCGCCGAAAAUGUAACGGGGCUCAAGCCAUACACCGAAGCUUAGGGUGGCGAUAAUCCUUCGGGAUUACGCUGCGGUANNNNNNNNNNNNNNNNNNNNNNNNNNNNNNNNNNNNNNNNNNNNNNNNNNNNNNNNNNNNNNNNNNNNNNNNNNNNNNNNNNNNNNNNNNNNNNNNNNNNGGAGCCACCCUUGAAAUACCACCCUUAUCACUAUGGAUGUCUAACCGCGGCCCGUUAUCCGGGUCCGGGACAAUGUAUGGUGGGUAGUUUGACUGGGGCGGUCGCCUCCUAAAGAGUAACGGAGGCGCGCGAUGGUGGGCUCAGAACGGUCGGAAAUCGUUCGCUGAGUGCAAUGGCAUAAGCCUGCCUGACUGCGAGACUGACAAGUCGAGCAGAGACGAAAGUCGGUCAUAGUGAUCCGGUGGUCCCGCGUGGAAGGGCCAUCGCUCAACGGAUAAAAGGUACGCCGGGGAUAACAGGCUGAUGACCCCCAAGAGUCCAUAUCGACGGGGUUGUUUGGCACCUCGAUGUCGACUCAUCGCAUCCUGGGGCUGGAGCAGGUCCCAAGGGUAUGGCUGUUCGCCAUUUAAAGCGGUACGUGAGUUGGGUUCAGAACGUCGUGAGACAGUUCGGUCCCUAUCUGCCGUGGGUGUAGGAAUAUUGAAAGGAUCUGUCCCUAGUACGAGAGGACCGGGAUGGACGGAUCUCUGGUGGACCUGUUGUGGCGCCAGCCGCAUAGCAGGGUAGCUAUAUCCGGACGGGAUAACCGCUGAAGGCAUCUAAGCGGGAAACCCACCUUAAAACGAGUAUUCCCUGAGAACCGUGGAAGACGACCACGUUGAUAGGCCGGGUGUGGAAGAGCGGCAACGCUUGAAGCUUACCGGUACUAAUAGUUCGAUCGGCUUGAUCGUUCUCAUU